This 580-nucleotide ribosomal RNA is filed under the name Propionibacterium acidifaciens. RNAcentral describes it as "bacterial SSU rRNA". It matches the Rfam family "Bacterial small subunit ribosomal RNA", at positions 371 to 961 of the family's 1533-position model. The record is from RNAcentral. Lineage: Bacteria; Bacillati; Actinomycetota; Actinomycetes; Propionibacteriales; Propionibacteriaceae.
AUGGGCGGAAGCCUGAUGCAGCAACGCCGCGUGCGGGAUGACGGCCUUCGGGUUGUAAACCGCUUUCACCCAUGACGAAGCGCGAGUGACGGUAGUGGGGGAAGAAGCACCGGCCGACUACGUGCCAGCAGCCGCGGUGAUACGUAGGGUGCGAGCGUUGUCCGGAAUUAUUGGGCGUAAAGAGCUUGUAGGCGGUUGAUCGCGUCGAUAGUGAAAUCCCGGGGCUCAACCUCGGGCUUGCUGUCGAUACGGGUUGACUUGAGGAAGGUAGGGGAGAAUGGAACUCCCGGUGGAGCGGUGGAAUGCGCAGAUAUCGGGAAGAACACCGGUGGCGAAGGCGGUUCUCUGGACCUUUCCUGACGCUGAGAAGCGAAAGCGUGGGGAGCAAACAGGCUUAGAUACCCUGGUAGUCCACGCUGUAAACGGUGGGUACUAGGUGUGGGUCGCAUUCCACGUGAUCCGUGCCGUAGCCAACGCAUUAAGUACCCCGCCUGGGGAGUACGGCCGCAAAGCUAAAACUCAAAGGAAUGGACGGGGCCCCGCACAAGCGGCGGAGCAUGCGGAUUAAUUCGAUGCGACG